GACGAACGCUGGCGGCGUGCUUAACACAUGCAAGUCGAACGGAAAGGCCCUGCUUUUGUGGGGUGCUCGAGUGGCGAACGGGUGAGUAACACGUGAGUAACCUGCCCUUGACUUUGGGAUAACUUCAGGAAACUGGGGCUAAUACCGGAUAGGAGCUCCUGCUGCAUGGUGGGGGUUGGAAAGUUUCGGCGGUUGGGGAUGGACUCGCGGCUUAUCAGCUUGUUGGUUGGGUAGUGGCUUACCAAGGCUUUGACGGGUAGCCGGCCUGAGAGGGUGACCGGCCACAUUGGGACUGAGAUACGGCCCAGACUCGUACGGGAGGCAGCAGUGGGGAAUAUUGCACAAUGGGAGGAAGCCUGAUGCAGCAACGCCGCGUGCGGGAUGACGGCCUUCGGGUUGUAAAACGCUUUCGCCUGUGACGACGCGUGAGUGACGGUAAUGGGUAAAGAAGCACCGGCUAACUACGUG
This 468-nucleotide ribosomal RNA is filed under the name uncultured bacterium. RNAcentral's name for it is "partial 16S ribosomal RNA". It matches the Rfam family "Bacterial small subunit ribosomal RNA", at positions 28 to 507 of the family's 1533-position model. The record is from RNAcentral.